This 75-nucleotide transfer RNA is filed under the name Rhodococcus phage NiceHouse. It matches the Rfam family "tRNA". From Rfam's summary of the family: Transfer RNA (tRNA) molecules are approximately 80 nucleotides in length. Lineage: Duplodnaviria; Heunggongvirae; Uroviricota; Caudoviricetes. The record is from Rfam by way of RNAcentral.
GGACAUUUAGUAUAAUAGGCACAAUACACCUGGCGUUCAAGUCGGGAAACUCUGGUUCGAAUCCAGAAAUGAUCC